RNAcentral lists this ribosomal RNA (2902 nucleotides) under Escherichia coli 2-460-02_S3_C1. RNAcentral describes it as "bacterial LSU rRNA". It matches the Rfam family "Bacterial large subunit ribosomal RNA". Lineage: Bacteria; Pseudomonadati; Pseudomonadota; Gammaproteobacteria; Enterobacterales; Enterobacteriaceae. The record is from RNAcentral.
UUAAGCGACUAAGCGUACACGGUGGAUGCCCUGGCAGUCAGAGGCGAUGAAGGACGUGCUAAUCUGCGAUAAGCGUCGGUAAGGUGAUAUGAACCGUUAUAACCGGCGAUUUCCGAAUGGGGAAACCCAGUGUGUUUCGACACACUAUCAUUAACUGAAUCCAUAGGUUAAUGAGGCGAACCGGGGGAACUGAAACAUCUAAGUACCCCGAGGAAAAGAAAUCAACCGAGAUUCCCCCAGUAGCGGCGAGCGAACGGGGAGUAGCCCAGAGCCUGAAUCAGUGUGUGUGUUAGUGGAAGCGUCUGGAAAGGCGCGCGAUACAGGGUGACAGCCCCGUACACAAAAAUGCACAUGCUGUGAGCUCGAUGAGUAGGGCGGGACACGUGGUAUCCUGUCUGAAUAUGGGGGGACCAUCCUCCAAGGCUAAAUACUCCUGACUGACCGAUAGUGAACCAGUACCGUGAGGGAAAGGCGAAAAGAACCCCGGCGAGGGGAGUGAAAAAGAACCUGAAACCGUGUACGUACAAGCAGUGGGAGCACGCUUAGGCGUGUGACUGCGUACCUUUUGUAUAAUGGGUCAGCGACUUAUAUUCUGUAGCAAGGUUAACCGAAUAGGGGAGCCGAAGGGAAACCGAGUCUUAACUGGGCGUUAAGUUGCAGGGUAUAGACCCGAAACCCGGUGAUCUAGCCAUGGGCAGGUUGAAGGUUGGGUAACACUAACUGGAGGACCGAACCGACUAAUGUUGAAAAAUUAGCGGAUGACUUGUGGCUGGGGGUGAAAGGCCAAUCAAACCGGGAGAUAGCUGGUUCUCCCCGAAAGCUAUUUAGGUAGCGCCUCGUGAAUUCAUCUCCGGGGGUAGAGCACUGUUUCGGCAAGGGGGUCAUCCCGACUUACCAACCCGAUGCAAACUGCGAAUACCGGAGAAUGUUAUCACGGGAGACACACGGCGGGUGCUAACGUCCGUCGUGAAGAGGGAAACAACCCAGACCGCCAGCUAAGGUCCCAAAGUCAUGGUUAAGUGGGAAACGAUGUGGGAAGGCCCAGACAGCCAGGAUGUUGGCUUAGAAGCAGCCAUCAUUUAAAGAAAGCGUAAUAGCUCACUGGUCGAGUCGGCCUGCGCGGAAGAUGUAACGGGGCUAAACCAUGCACCGAAGCUGCGGCAGCGACGCUGAUGCGUUGUUGGGUAGGGGAGCGUUCUGUAAGCCUGCGAAGGUGUGCUGUGAGGCAUGCUGGAGGUAUCAGAAGUGCGAAUGCUGACAUAAGUAACGAUAAAGCGGGUGAAAAGCCCGCUCGCCGGAAGACCAAGGGUUCCUGUCCAACGUUAAUCGGGGCAGGGUGAGUCGACCCCUAAGGCGAGGCCGAAAGGCGUAGUCGAUGGGAAACAGGUUAAUAUUCCUGUACUUGGUGUUACUGCGAAGGGGGGACGGAGAAGGCUAUGUUGGCCGGGCGACGGUUGUCCCGGUUUAAGCGUGUAGGCUGGUUUUCCAGGCAAAUCCGGAAAAUCAAGGCUGAGGCGUGAUGACGAGGCACUACGGUGCUGAAGCAACAAAUGCCCUGCUUCCAGGAAAAGCCUCUAAGCAUCAGGUAACAUCAAAUCGUACCCCAAACCGACACAGGUGGUCAGGUAGAGAAUACCAAGGCGCUUGAGAGAACUCGGGUGAAGGAACUAGGCAAAAUGGUGCCGUAACUUCGGGAGAAGGCACGCUGAUAUGUAGGUGAAGCGACUUGCUCGUGGAGCUGAAAUCAGUCGAAGAUACCAGCUGGCUGCAACUGUUUAUUAAAAACACAGCACUGUGCAAACACGAAAGUGGACGUAUACGGUGUGACGCCUGCCCGGUGCCGGAAGGUUAAUUGAUGGGGUUAGCGCAAGCGAAGCUCUUGAUCGAAGCCCCGGUAAACGGCGGCCGUAACUAUAACGGUCCUAAGGUAGCGAAAUUCCUUGUCGGGUAAGUUCCGACCUGCACGAAUGGCGUAAUGAUGGCCAGGCUGUCUCCACCCGAGACUCAGUGAAAUUGAACUCGCUGUGAAGAUGCAGUGUACCCGCGGCAAGACGGAAAGACCCCGUGAACCUUUACUAUAGCUUGACACUGAACAUUGAGCCUUGAUGUGUAGGAUAGGUGGGAGGCUUAGAAGUGUGGACGCCAGUCUGCAUGGAGCCGACCUUGAAAUACCACCCUUUAAUGUUUGAUGUUCUAACGUUGACCCGUAAUCCGGGUUGCGGACAGUGUCUGGUGGGUAGUUUGACUGGGGCGGUCUCCUCCUAAAGAGUAACGGAGGAGCACGAAGGUUGGCUAAUCCUGGUCGGACAUCAGGAGGUUAGUGCAAUGGCAUAAGCCAGCUUGACUGCGAGCGUGACGGCGCGAGCAGGUGCGAAAGCAGGUCAUAGUGAUCCGGUGGUUCUGAAUGGAAGGGCCAUCGCUCAACGGAUAAAAGGUACUCCGGGGAUAACAGGCUGAUACCGCCCAAGAGUUCAUAUCGACGGCGGUGUUUGGCACCUCGAUGUCGGCUCAUCACAUCCUGGGGCUGAAGUAGGUCCCAAGGGUAUGGCUGUUCGCCAUUUAAAGUGGUACGCGAGCUGGGUUUAGAACGUCGUGAGACAGUUCGGUCCCUAUCUGCCGUGGGCGCUGGAGAACUGAGGGGGGCUGCUCCUAGUACGAGAGGACCGGAGUGGACGCAUCACUGGUGUUCGGGUUGUCAUGCCAAUGGCACUGCCCGGUAGCUAAAUGCGGAAGAGAUAAGUGCUGAAAGCAUCUAAGCACGAAACUUGCCCCGAGAUGAGUUCUCCCUGACCCUUUAAGGGUCCUGAAGGAACGUUGAAGACGACGACGUUGAUAGGCCGGGUGUGUAAGCGCAGCGAUGCGUUGAGCUAACCGGUACUAAUGAACCGUGAGGCUUAACCUU